UCCAGACUCCUACGGGAGGCAGCAGUGGGGAAUAUUGCACAAUGGGCGAAAGCCUGAUGCAGCGACGCCGCGUGAGUGAAGAAGUAUUUCGGUAUGUAAAGCUCUAUCAGCAGGGAAGAAAAUGACGGUACCUGACUAAGAAGCCCCGGCUAACUACGUGCCAGCAGCCGCGGUAAUACGUAGGGGGCAAGCGUUAUCCGGAUUUACUGGGUGUAAAGGGAGCGUAGGUGGCAUGGUAAGCCAGAAGUGAAAACCCAGGGCUCAACUCUGUGGAUUGCUUUUGGAACUAGCAAGCUAGAGUGCUGGAGGGGUAAGCGGAAUUCCUAGUGUAGCGGUGAAAUGCGUAGAUAUUAGGAGGAACGCCGGUGGCGAAGGCGGCUUACUGGACAGAAACUGACACUGAGGCUCGAAAGCGUGGGGAGCAAACAGGAUUAGAUACCCUGGUA
This 446-nucleotide ribosomal RNA is filed under the name uncultured bacterium. RNAcentral's name for it is "bacterial SSU rRNA". It matches the Rfam family "Bacterial small subunit ribosomal RNA", at positions 330 to 792 of the family's 1533-position model. The record is from RNAcentral.